AUAAAACAAAGAUGAGCGUAUGAAGAUAUGAACCUUCACUUUGGAUUGUCUGUCGUACAGAUAUUAUUGUAGGCAAAAGUACUCACAGUCUGUACUAAUUAAGUAUAUGUACUGUAGAAGUACAGAUUCUUGAACUGUAUUUAAAAAACGACUAGUAAGUAAAAGUAGCACUGAUUCGACUCAACUAGGAGAACAAAGUAUGUACUCUGAAAUUUCCUAAAGUAGCCUACAAAAGUAAAAAAUAUUUUGUUUUACUGUCAAUAGUGUAUGACACCCAUUUUGAUAACUUGGCAGAGUACACAAAACACUUUUGUGUUUUAAAACCGAGUGCUAGCUAGCAUUUGCUCAGGCUUUUAUGCUAUCAAAACACGUUCACUUAAUAAAUAUGACUAGGAAGAUAUAACAUCCCCUCUUUGAGCUGCAUGCCUAUGGUGACACUAAGCUAGGAGGGUAAAAGUCCUCACUGCAUUACAUGUGUGUGGACGGCAAGAAAACAAAACAAACAAAAAACAAGGGGACCGGUACACUGUGUUACGCCGUACAAUUACGACAAGGGAACUGGGAGCAUACCCUUUCACAGAGGAAAAGCGGACGUGGCUGAGGACAAGGGAAAGGUGCGUGAAGUACGAUGCUAAAGCCACGCCCCCAGUAGGGUGUGCAUUGUGAAAAAAAACAUCGGUUUGGCUAAGGAACCCCGAAAAUGUCACCUACAAAGAGACACGCUUACGAAGCACAGUUUAAACUGCAAGCUAUCAGUUACGCGGAGGAACAUGGGAAUCGAGCAGCCGCGAGAGAAUUCAAGAUCAACGAAUGCAUGGUUCGCAAGUGGAGGAAGCAGGAAAACGAGCUUCGCCAAGUCAAAAAGACAAAGCUGAGUUUCCGUGGAAAAAAAGAAAACAAAACGCAGAAACAAGGCGAGGUGGCCCGAGUUGUAAGACCAACUCGAGCAAUGGAUUAAUGAGCAAAGAACAGCUGGGAGAAGCGUCUCUACAGUCACCAUUCGACUGAGUGCAAUAACUCGGGGCUUGCCAUCAUUCCAGGAGGCUUGACGAACCACUGGACAUCCGUGUAAACAGGGUGUUCAAAGUGAAGUGAGCGGCGUGGGAGCCAUGGAUGACAGAUGGCGCACACAGCUUUACUAAGACUAGGAGGCAGCGCCGGGCGAGUUACGCCACAAUUUGUGAAUGGAUUGUGGAUGCUUUGGCUAACGUGUCUGUUUGCACUGUUGUUCGAGCUUUCACACGGCAAUGAGACUGUCUCGAACCCGGCGUGUUUGAUUGAGAACUUGCCCAGCUGUUCAUUUCGGAUACAGAAG
This is a long non-coding RNA of Phyllopteryx taeniolatus (common seadragon), 1315 nucleotides long. RefSeq lists it as uncharacterized. The record is from RefSeq and is a predicted model, not a curated record. The transcript has 3 exons. NCBI's taxonomy places the organism in Eukaryota, Metazoa, Chordata, Actinopteri, Syngnathiformes, Syngnathidae.